GGGGUUAUGGCUCACAUGGGAGAGCACCCAACAAGUACAAGGCUCUGAGUUCAAAUCCCAGUAACACCA
Molecule: transfer RNA, 69 nt
Filed under: Dipodomys ordii (Ord's kangaroo rat)
Lineage: Eukaryota; Metazoa; Chordata; Mammalia; Rodentia; Heteromyidae
Rfam family: tRNA
About the family: Transfer RNA (tRNA) molecules are approximately 80 nucleotides in length. Their secondary structure includes four short double-helical elements and three loops (D, anti-codon, and T loops).
Source: Rfam by way of RNAcentral